Molecule: ribosomal RNA, 508 nt
Filed under: uncultured bacterium
Lineage: Bacteria
Description: partial 16S ribosomal RNA
Rfam family: Bacterial small subunit ribosomal RNA
Source: RNAcentral
GACGAACGCUGGCGGCGUGCUUAACACAUGCAAGUGGAGCGACGAACCAGGGCUUGCCCUGGGGCAGAGCCGCGAACGGGUGAGUAACACGUGGGAACCUGCCCAGAUGACCGGGACAACCCGAGGGAACUCGGGCUAAUACCGGAUGUGCUGUCCCCACAUCAGUGGGGUUAGGAAAGGUAGCUUCGGCUUCCGCAUCUGGAUGGGCCCGCGGCCCAUUAGCUUGUUGGUGAGGUAACGGCUCACCAAGGCUUCGAUGGGUAGCUGGUCUGAGAGGACGAUCAGCCACACUGGGACUGAGACACGGCCCAGACUCCUACGGGAGGCAGCAGUGGGGAAUCUUGCGCAAUGCGCGAAAGCGUGACGCAGCAACGCCGCGUGCGGGAAGACGGCCUUCGGGUUGUAAACCGCUUUCAGUUGGGACGAAGCCUUUGCGGUUAAUAGCCGUGGAAGGUGACGGUACCUUCAGAAGAAGCCCCGGCUAACUACGUGCCAGCAGCCGCGGUAA